Molecule: transfer RNA, 76 nt
Filed under: Clostridia bacterium
Lineage: Bacteria; Bacillati; Bacillota; Clostridia
Description: tRNA-Thr
Rfam family: tRNA
About the family: Transfer RNA (tRNA) molecules are approximately 80 nucleotides in length. Their secondary structure includes four short double-helical elements and three loops (D, anti-codon, and T loops).
Source: RNAcentral
GCUACUGUGGCUCAGCCGGUAGAGCAGCUGAUUCGUAAUCAGCAGGUCGGCGGUUCAAGUCCGCCCAGUAGCUCCA